This 374-nucleotide long non-coding RNA is filed under the name Salmo salar (Atlantic salmon). RNAcentral describes it as "lncRNA (ENSSSAG00000102356.1)". The record is from RNAcentral. Lineage: Eukaryota; Metazoa; Chordata; Actinopteri; Salmoniformes; Salmonidae.
GGGGUCAGUUGGAUACGGAGACAGCUGGAUCCUCUGGAGACACUCGGUGCAAAAGACAUGGAGGCACUCCAGCAUGCGAGGACACUUGCUGCUCUGGUUGUACUCCUGGUAGCAGAUGGGACACUCCACAUCUGUGGACUCCACCAGGCUGGGGGUGGCUGCUGAGACUGGGUGCCCCUGGAAGAGCACUGGUUCCGGGGGCUCAGCCAUGGCCUACUUUUUGACUUUACUGGCCUCUGCCCGCCUGCCCGUUGGCUCAACAUUUGAUCCUCUGCUCACGCCAAGUGCACGUGAUCCUUUGCUCCAAGGGCAAUAAUGCCUGCUGCUGUUAUCCUGACAGAAUCUACGAACGUUGGACGAAUCGACUGAUGUCA